AUAAAGACUGUGAUCGGGACAGUAGGAAGUCCAUACCGCUUUCAAAGCGAGCCAGGGAAGGUGAGAGCCUGGUACGGUAUUUCUUUCGAACAUCACCCGCUAGUUUCCAUUCGAACCGCAAGCAGUAGAAAUGGACGUCUCAUUCACGUUACGAAUUCGAGUGGAUAGAUGAUACUAGUCUGUCUAUAAGGGUGGUACCGCGAGUCUCUCUCGUCCCUUCU
This 221-nucleotide non-coding RNA is filed under the name Terribacillus aidingensis. Its description in RNAcentral is "T-box sequence". It matches the Rfam family "T-box leader". From Rfam's summary of the family: Uncharged tRNA acts as the effector for transcription antitermination of genes in the T-box leader family. The record is from RNAcentral. Lineage: Bacteria; Bacillati; Bacillota; Bacilli; Caryophanales; Bacillaceae.